This is a non-coding RNA of Rattus norvegicus (Norway rat), 2346 nucleotides long. NCBI's taxonomy places the organism in Eukaryota, Metazoa, Chordata, Mammalia, Rodentia, Muridae. The record is from the annotation of a RefSeq genome assembly.
UUGGUCUCUUUUCUUUCUUUCAUUUUUCAUUGAGAACUUGCUGGUUAGCAAGGCUGGCCUCAGACUAACUGAUCCCCAAGAUUCUAUUCUAGCUAGGGUAACACCUCUCCUGUAAGCCCUGAAUCUGGGGGCUCUGCACAAGGCAUCAGGGACUCCUAUCUCAGAGAAACACAGACAGUGACUCCAGAAAAAUUGGGAAGUGAUGGUGUUCUCCUGAAAGUGUCAUCCACUGGUAACGUGAUCCAGUGUUUGAAACCCAGGGUUUACGUUCAGUGGUUUGCCUGCCAGCAGUCUUUCUAAUGGCUCCAAAAUUCCAAGUCCACUGGGGAAGCCAUUAUGUCUUACAGGGUGACAUGUGAGUUUUUCUCAUUCUAGAGGAAAUAAAGAAGUGGGAACGGGUACGAGAAAAUGGAAACCCUAGCAGUCCUGAGUGACUGGUACUGUCAGCUUGGUCUCUGCCUUUCAGAGGAUAAUAAAAACUUGCAAAGGUUCUCCAUUGUCUAUUGCUUCCAGGGCAAUGGUGGGAUUUGUUGAAUUUUUUUAUGUCUAAGGAGACAAACACCAGAGUAACAAAGAGAAGGAAGGAAGCAAAAUUACGCUAUAGCCGAUUGCAGUCUGAUUGAUGCUUGGUAAAUUUCAUCUGAGCAAAAAGUACUGUGUUUCAUUUUCUCCUUAAACCAUUUCCACUUGAAAUUCAGAAUUAUCUUCAGUGUUAAGAGUCAAAUGUUUGAGGCUGAGCCUUUGGGAGUCUUGAGGGAAAGGAGAUUGGAGAAAUAAAUCUUUACUAUCUGUUGGGACACCGACCACACUUCCCGGUGAUCUUGUACUUUCUUCUCUGGUUCCUACCUGCAGUGAUGGAAGUCAAUAUAUGUGCAGAAAGUGAGAGAUUCAGUUCUGAAAGCUGCCUGUCACCCUCUCUUACUUUGCUUUAGCCCUGUCCUGGCAUCUCAUAGAUGGAGACUUUGUGCUCACUUUCCUCUCCAAACGUUCAGCUCCUGUUACCUUCAAAAGCAAAGGGCAUGCUGUGCACUUGGCCUCCUGUCUCAUCAAGGGCAACUUUGCAGUUCCCUGAACUGCAGCCUCUACGGGCUGAGGUGCAGGCUGAGAAGCAACACACAGAUGUUCAAGCCCAGGCCGAGGGCUAGUCCCAGGCUGGUUAUCUGUAAAGCAAGAUUGUAAUGUGCUCCUGGGACACCCGACAGAUGUUUUUUGGAGCUGGCAUAAAGCUCUUUGUGGAGCCCCAAAAACAGCCUCCUGCCAAACCAUCUGUCUUCAUUAUGAAAAAUGGAACAAAUGUUGCUUGUCUGGUGAAGGAUUUCUACCCCAAAGAUGUGAAUAUAAGUCUCAGAUCGUCCAAGAAGAUAGCGGAAUUCGACCCUGCUAUAGCCAUCUCCCCCAGCGGGAAGUACAGUGCUGUCAAGCUUGGUCAGUAUGGAGAUUCAAAUUCAGUGACAUGUUCAGUUCAGCACAACAGUGAAACUGUGCACUCAACUGACUUUGAACAAUAUGCAGAUUCUGUCGAUAAUGUAAAACCAACAGAACCUGCAAAAAAUGACACACAAACUUCAGAGCCUUGCCACAGCCCAAGAGUCAUGAUUCAUGCCAAGAAGGUAAACACGAUGUCCCUCACAGUGCUGGGACUACGACUGCUGCUCGCCAAGACUGUUGCCAUCAAUUUUCUCUUGACUGCCAAGUUAUUCUUUUAAGGUGGGCUGGCAUGAUGAGACUGAAAGAAAUCAAAAGCUUAGAAAGAUGCUAUAUCCAAGGCUUCUAACUUCUCAGUGCUUCAAACUGACCCUUCACCACCACAUUUACACAGCUAACAAAACUAGCUUUUCUGUGAUGGCAACAAGCCUAGGUAAUCCUCCAGUCUAGAAGAAAAACAAAAGUCCUUGGGAGUGGAGUGUGCCCUGGCUUUACACGCUGCUUUAUAAAGGCACCGAAAACUAUGAAAACAGAUCCAUUCUACUUUACCCCUAUAACUGGUAUACUUUGAAAAUGGUGUUUCAUCCCUCUCUAUUUACCCAGAACUGGAAAGUGGGGACCAGUAAAUCACCAGCUUCAUUAUCCAGGGGGAAAAUGGUCUUGGGAGAGAGAACCCAUACCUUUUUAGCUAAAUGUGGAAAGCUGCUCAUCCCUAGCCAGAGCUCCCCUCCUCCUCUCCUGAGGCAGGAGGUAGGGCCCACUCUCUGUGUUUGCUCCAACAGCCACAUAGGAGAGUUUUCCUAGUAGCACUAGGGUGUGAACAAUGUUAGCACUUUCUGUUUCUCCUGAUACUUUACAAACAAAAUCACGUUUGGCUUCCUCGAUGCUCUCCAAGCAGACAAUAAAGCUUCUAAAAACGCA